CAAUAGCGUAUAUUUAAGUUGUUGCAGUUAAAAAGCUCGUAGUUGGAUUUCGGGUGGGACGCAGCGGUCUCGCAUUGCGUUUGUACUGCUGCAGCCCUCCUUCUUGCCGGGGGCGGCCUCUCGGACUUCACUGUCUGGGGGUCAGAAUCGGCGAUGUUACUUUGAGUAAAUUAGAGUGUUCAAAGCAAGCUUACGCUCUGAAUAUAAUAGCAUGGGAUAACACGACAGGACUCUGGCCUAUCGUGUUGGUCUAUAGGACCAGAGUAAUGAUUAAGAGGGACAGUCGGGGGCAUUCGUAUUCCGUUGUCAGAGGUGAAAUUCUUGGAUUUACGGAAGACGAACAUCUGCGAAAGCAUUUGCCAAGGAUGUUUUCAUUCA
RNAcentral lists this ribosomal RNA (378 nucleotides) under uncultured eukaryote. Its description in RNAcentral is "partial 18S ribosomal RNA". It matches the Rfam family "Eukaryotic small subunit ribosomal RNA", at positions 592 to 976 of the family's 1831-position model. The record is from RNAcentral.